GAUGAACGCUGGCGGCGUGCUUAACACAUGCAAGUCGAACGGGAAACCUUUUAAUGAAGCUUCGGCAGAUUUAGCUGGUUUCUAGUGGCGGACGGGUGAGUAACGCGUGGGUAACCUGCCUUAUACAGGGGGAUAACAGUCAGAAAUGACUGCUAAUACCGCAUAAGCGCACAGGACCGCAUGGUCCGGUGUGAAAAACUCCGGUGGUAUAAGAUGGACCCGCGUUGGAUUAGCUUGUUGGUGGGGUAACGGCUCACCAAGGCGACGAUCCAUAGCCGGCCUGAGAGGGUGAACGGCCACAUUGGGACUGAGACACGGCCCAGACUCCUACGGGAGGCAGCAGUGGGGAAUAUUGCACAAUGGGGGAGACCCUGAUGCAGCGACGCCGCGUGAAGGAAGAAGUAUCUCGGUAUGUAAACUUCUAUCAGCAGGGAAGAUAGUGACGGUACCUGACUAAGAAGCCCCGGCUAACUACGUG
This 478-nucleotide ribosomal RNA is filed under the name uncultured bacterium. Its description in RNAcentral is "partial 16S ribosomal RNA". It matches the Rfam family "Bacterial small subunit ribosomal RNA", at positions 28 to 507 of the family's 1533-position model. The record is from RNAcentral.